Alligator mississippiensis (American alligator) is the source of this 422-nucleotide long non-coding RNA. RefSeq lists it as uncharacterized. The record is from RefSeq and is a predicted model, not a curated record. The transcript has 2 exons. NCBI's taxonomy places the organism in Eukaryota, Metazoa, Chordata, Crocodylia, Alligatoridae.
AAUAAUUAUGGACUCCCAUAUCCUGCAACCAUUUCUACCAUUGAUCAGAUGAGAAGCCUUUCCUAGGGAGCAAUGCAAGAUCUGGGCCAGAUAUGCCUCGAAUCACAGAACUGACCUGUGUGACCAUGUGAGCUGGAGGUAACUUGCAGAAGGGAUCUCAUGAGACCCUGCAUAACAUCAUUUAAAAAAGGAAUGGUAUUGUGAACAGCAGCUCAACACUGUGCAAGCCACCUACACUAUCUAGCAUUCAGAACUAUAAAGUGUUGUUUGUUUUCUUAGGCAUACUAUGAGUUUGUCUUGCACAUUGUCAGCCAGGGAACACAAUCAUAACAGCAGGGAGAUUUCCCAACCAUAGAUAAUAAUGCUUUUUUGUCUUUUGCCUCUGAAUAACAGAGAUAAAUAAAACAACAUUUUUGCACAUA